RNAcentral lists this small nuclear RNA (303 nucleotides) under Jaculus jaculus (lesser Egyptian jerboa). RNAcentral's name for it is "7SK RNA (ENSJJAG00000009068.1)". It matches the Rfam family "7SK RNA". Rfam says of the family: 7SK was discovered as an abundant small nuclear RNA in the mid-70s but a possible function has only recently been suggested. Two independent studies have found that 7SK RNA binds the CDK9/cyclin T complex (known as elongation factor P-TEFb). P-TEFb activates transcription by phosphorylating the C-terminal domain of RNA polymerase II. The record is from Rfam by way of RNAcentral. Lineage: Eukaryota; Metazoa; Chordata; Mammalia; Rodentia; Dipodidae.
GGUGGUGAGGGCGAUCUGGCUGCGACACCUGUCACCCCAUUGAUCACCAGGGUUGAUUCAGCUGAUCGGGCUGCCUAGGGCAGGAGUCCACUUCCUCCCUCACCCUCCAUAUGCCUCCCUCCUGAAGGGAGCACUGGGUCAAAGAGGAUGACCUUCCCCAAACAGAGGAGGACCCGUCUUCGGUCAAGGGAAGCCCUGCUAGAACCUCCAAACAAGCUCUCGAGAAGCGGCAGUUGAGGUGUUUAAGUCGUUUAUACAAAAUAGUCUGCUCUGUUCUCUCAACUCAGAGAGCCGACUUCGUCA